Molecule: non-coding RNA, 112 nt
Organism: Acanthosepion pharaonis
Lineage: Eukaryota; Metazoa; Mollusca; Cephalopoda; Sepiida; Sepiidae
Source: the annotation of a GenBank genome assembly
UUACGGCCACAUCAUGUUGAAACACUGAUUCGUGUGGGACCACUGAAGUUAAGCAAUGUUGAGCCUGGUCAGUACCUAGAUGAGUGACUGCUUGGGAAUGCCAGGUGGUGUA